GUCGGAUGCUCGACUGACUGAGACACCCAGGAGCCCCUAGCACCCCUCAAUACUUUUAAUAAAGAGUUUCAAAUAGGACACAUCUAGUUGCAGACACAGGAGUGUAUUUCUUGUAAUCUCAGAAGCAUUAAAGUAUACCUGUAUGAACACAUCUUUAAAAUUCAUUUAUAAUGUACAUUAAAUGACAGUAACUAUGGAUGUCAGCCUGUGUUCUAUUAUUUGCAAAGACAGAGUCUGCAAAUACUGAAAUUUAAAGAACAUUUACUAACAAAAUACGUAGGCUCUGUUACAGAAUACUCCAAAUGUGAUCCUAAGCAGUAAAAAAUAUUACUACACAUAAACUAGCCACUUAGAAUAAUUUAAAAAAAAAAAAAUAGAACUAUCCUACGACCCA
Leopardus geoffroyi (Geoffroy's cat) is the source of this 394-nucleotide long non-coding RNA. RefSeq lists it as uncharacterized. The transcript is spliced from 2 exons. The record is from RefSeq and is a predicted model, not a curated record. NCBI's taxonomy places the organism in Eukaryota, Metazoa, Chordata, Mammalia, Carnivora, Felidae.